This 605-nucleotide ribosomal RNA is filed under the name Cortinarius sp. F16408. RNAcentral's name for it is "eukaryotic LSU rRNA". It matches the Rfam family "Eukaryotic large subunit ribosomal RNA", at positions 1 to 606 of the family's 3401-position model. Lineage: Eukaryota; Fungi; Basidiomycota; Agaricomycetes; Agaricales; Cortinariaceae. The record is from RNAcentral.
UGACCUCAAAUCAGGUAGGACUACCCGCUGAACUUAAGCAUAUCAAUAAGCGGAGGAAAAGAAACUAACAAGGAUUCCCCUAGUAACUGCGAGUGAAGCGGGAAAAGCUCAAAUUUAAAAUCUGACAGUCUUUGGCUGUCCGAGUUGUAAUCUAGAGAAGCAUUAUCCGCGCUGGACCGUGUACAAGUCUCCUGGAAUGGAGCGUCAUAGAGGGUGAGAAUCCCGUCUUUGGCACGGACUGCCAGGGCUUUGUGAUGUGCUCUCAAAGAGUCGAGUUGUUUGGGAAUGCAGCUCAAAAUGGGUGGUAAAUUCCAUCUAAAGCUAAAUAUUGGCGAGAGACCGAUAGCGAACAAGUACCGUGAGGGAAAGAUGAAAAGAACUUUGGAAAGAGAGUUAAACAGUACGUGAAAUUGCUGAAAGGGAAACGCUUGAAGUCAGUCGUGUCAGUCAGGGAUCAGCCUUGCUUUUGCUUGGUGUACUUCCUGGCUGAUGGGUCAGCAUCAAUUUUGACUAUUGGAAAAAGAUCAGGGGAAUGUGGCAUCUUAAGAGAUGUGUYAUWUUCGUUGAUUUUAGGCAAUKRACGUCUUGAACCCGGACCUUYUUGG